UUCCCAGUGAUAAGCAUUUCAACUGGAGUUGCUUGUGAAGAUCCUAUAACGAACGAGAAAUGCUGCGGCUAACCCUUCAUUUUUCUGUUGAAUUCCGAAGCAGAAUGAUUGGAGAAAGUAUGCGUCAUGGUAGGAAAUUUCCAGAAGAUAACGGCGUGAAGUUUUCGAA
Aedes aegypti (yellow fever mosquito) is the source of this 169-nucleotide long non-coding RNA. RefSeq lists it as uncharacterized. The transcript is spliced from 3 exons. The record is from RefSeq and is a predicted model, not a curated record. NCBI's taxonomy places the organism in Eukaryota, Metazoa, Arthropoda, Insecta, Diptera, Culicidae.